This is a non-coding RNA of Taeniopygia guttata (zebra finch), 1911 nucleotides long. The record is from RefSeq and is a predicted model, not a curated record. NCBI's taxonomy places the organism in Eukaryota, Metazoa, Chordata, Aves, Passeriformes, Estrildidae.
AUGAGUGUUAACUACAGAUUUGUUGGCACUAAGCAUUGUUGGUGUUCAGGCUCUGUGGUCUGUUUUACACGGCAAAAUCUGACCCAAGGAUGUUGAGAACAUCUGAAGGAACUCGGGAUAAAAGCGAGAUGGAACAACCUUGUCCCAGUAGAAGCCUACAUGCCAAAGACUCUUCUCCCAAAGCUUUCUCAGUGUGCUGUUGCCUGUUGUCAUCAUUAUCACCACAAUUACUAAUAAUUUGAACCACUGUAGUGCAUUAAGUACAUGUCUGUUCUAGGAAGAGAAUCUCCCUGAAGCAGACAGAGUGCACCUGUCUGUACCAGGAGAUGGUCCAUGCAAUAGAGAGCUCACAACAUAAAUAUGUGGGAUCAGAGGCUGGGAGAAAGCAGGUGGCAGAUCCUCCACUCAAGGCUCCUCUCCCUAUAUUAAGCUCUACCCUACUUAUGAAACCCAGAAAGCUUUGGUGACCAUAUGCUGUUAGUAGGAAAGCUCAAUUGUUCUUAAAUCCUUACAGGAUGUUAUCUGCCCCUGUUACUUAGCUGGUGGGAGUGUAUCCAUCAAUCUCCAGUUAUCUAACAGCCAUCUCCUCUAAACUAGUUUUCCAUGGUCCAGUAUAGCCUUGAGAAAGAAUAGGAACAUAUGGACUCUGCAUUCCAUAUCUACUCUCUUCAAAGUGUAACGAGUGCUUCCUUUGGGAAUGCCCACUAGCUCGUAGAAGGUGCUUAGGUAGGUCUCUCAGACUACAACUUGACAUCCAUAAUCAGAUUAAUUGAGAUUAUAAACAAGCUUGUAGAAUAAGUAACAGAGGAAAAUGCUGAGCUGCUGAUAGGCAAAUAAUUGCUGAGAAGUUUCAGGAACUCUGGCUGUAUCAUUUUAGGGUGGCAUUAGAUGAGUGAAUUGCACCUCAGCUACAUGCUAUGGAAAAAGGGGUGUUUCUUCCCAUGUCUUUAUGGAGGUUGCAGAUCUCACCCAGCUGAAGAUGUAGCUUUGGACCUCUUCCCCAGGACAAAACCUGAAGGUUUAAAGGCCUAAAGAGCCCUGCUGAUGAGUGGUGAGUGGUGGUGGCAAAAGACAACAUAAAAAACCUCCCACAAAAAAAAAGAUUAGAAAAUCUGCAAAAAGGGACAAAAGCAAAUAUUGAAAUAACCUCAACACUUUAAUCCCCAUCCCAUUUUAAUCUAGGACUGUACUCUAUUAGCAUAAAAAUACCAAUUGCAUUUAUUUUGUUAAGGCUUUGCUGAGUAGCUUGACCCCCAGCCUAAUGUGGUUGCCAGGCAUAUUUCUCUUCUACAGAGAGGUGAACAGAUGGCUUUUUUGUGUGUGUGACUGUGUAAGAAAACCCAUUUCUGCAAACAGGGGAUGUCAGAUGUGGAAGGGGUGGUGAGCAGAGUGAAAGCAGUAGAGGCUGUGAAUAAUGGGGCUUCAGGAGCUCAUGGGGCUCAUUACACGGCAGGAGCUCAGGAACAUCUGUCCUGCCAUGAGUCAAGUGGGCUGACCACAGGGGAGCUGGUGUGCUGACAUCUGGCAAGAGAUACUCAAACCUGACAUGAUCACUCCCUGGGUGUAAACUUAAGGAGUCUUCUCAUGUUGGGAGCCUCAGAAAUGUCCUGUGGACCUCAGCCCGGGAGGAGGAGACCUGGGCAUGGCUUGCCCUGGACUCUGCUGCUCAAUGUGGACAUGGGCCUCUUUCACCCUGCUGCUCCCAGUCCUUCCCUCCCCCUGGGCUGGGAGUGGUGUGUGAGCAGCAUCCCUGCAGGAACACCUUAUAGAUCCAUCCCUGCAGAUCAAGGAUGCUUCUCCUCAUCUCCUCCUGCUGCACAGGAAGGGUAAUGAUGCCAAGUAACUUGUAAAAUUUCAUAUCCAACACAUUUUGGCUUCUUUCUGCUUUCAUAAAAAGUCAAGUGUGUCUGA